This 744-nucleotide ribosomal RNA is filed under the name uncultured bacterium. RNAcentral's name for it is "bacterial SSU rRNA". It matches the Rfam family "Bacterial small subunit ribosomal RNA", at positions 8 to 796 of the family's 1533-position model. The record is from RNAcentral.
AGAGUUUGAUCCUGGCUCAGAACGAACGCUGGCGGCAGGCCUCAAACAUGCAAGUCUAGGGGACGUAGCAAUACGUCACCGGCGGACGGGUGCGUAACACGUGGGAACGUACCCUUUGGUUCGGAACAACUCAGGGAAACUUGAGCUAAUACCGAAUGUGCCCGAAAGGGGAAAGAUUUAUCGCCAAAGGAUCGGCCCGCGUUCGAUUAGCUAGUUGGUGAGGUAACGGCCCACCAAGGCGACGAUCGAUAGCUGGUCUGAGAGGACGAUCAGCCACACUGGGACUGAGACACGGCCCAGACUCCUACGGGAGGCAGCAGUUGGGAAUCUUGGACAAUGGAGGAAACUCUGAUCCAGCCAUGCCGCGUGAGUGAUGAAGGCCUUCGGGUUGUAAAACUCUUUCGACGGGGACGAUAAUGACGGUACCCGUAGAAGAAGCUCCGGCUAACUUCGUGCCAGCAGCCGCGGUAAUACGAAGGGGGCUAGCGUUGUUCGGAAUUACUGGGCGUAAAGCGCGCGCAGGCGGCCAUCCAAGUCAGGGGUGAAAGCCCGGAGCUCAACUCCGGAACUGCCCUUGAAACUGUUUGGCUUGAGUACGGGAGAGGUGAGUGGAAUUCCCAGUGUAGAGGUGAAAUUCGUAGAUAUUGGGAAGAACACCGGUGGCGAAGGCGGCUCACUGGCCCGUUUCUGACGCUCAUGCGCGACAGCGUGGGGAUCAAACAGGAUUAGAUACCCCCGUAGUCC